UAGGGAAUCUUCGGCAAUGGACGAAAGUCUGACCGAGCAACGCCGCGUGAGUGAAGAAGGUUUUCGGAUCGUAAAACUCUGUUGUUAGAGAAGAACAAGGACGUUAGUAACUGAACGUCCCCUGACGGUAUCUAACCAGAAAGCCACGGCUAACUACGUGCCAGCAGCCGCGGUAAUACGUAGGUGGCAAGCGUUGUCCGGAUUUAUUGGGCGUAAAGCGAGCGCAGGCGGUUUCUUAAGUCUGAUGUGAAAGCCCCCGGCUCAACCGGGGAGGGUCAUUGGAAACUGGGAAACUUGAGUGCAGAAGAGGAGAGUUGAAUUCCAUGUGUAGCGGUGAAAUGCGUAGAUAUAUGGAGGAACACCAGUGGCGAAGGCGGCUCUCUGGUCUGUAACUGACGCUGAGGCUCGAAAGCGUGGGGAGCAAACAGG
RNAcentral lists this ribosomal RNA (429 nucleotides) under Chloroflexota bacterium. Its description in RNAcentral is "Chloroflexi bacterium partial 16S ribosomal RNA". It matches the Rfam family "Bacterial small subunit ribosomal RNA", at positions 355 to 776 of the family's 1533-position model. The record is from RNAcentral. Lineage: Bacteria; Bacillati; Chloroflexota.